UGGGGAAUAUUGCGCAAUGGGCGAAAGCCUGACGCAGCGACGCCGCGUGAGGGAUGAAGGUUUUCGGAUCGUAAACCUCUGUCAGAAGGGAAGAAACCGCACUGUGCUAAUCAGCAGUGCCUUGACGGUACCUUCAAAGGAAGCACCGGCUAACUCCGUGCCAGCAGCCGCGGUAAUACGGAGGGUGCAAGCGUUAAUCGGAAUUACUGGGCGUAAAGCGCACGUAGGCUGCUUUGUAAGUCAGGGGUGAAAUCCCACGGCUCAACCGUGGAACUGCCUUUGAUACUGCUUAGCUUGAAUCCGGGAGAGGGUGGCGGAAUUCCAGGUGUAGGAGUGAAAUCCGUAGAUAUCUGGAGGAACAUCAGUGGCGAAGGCGGCCACCUGGACCGGUAUUGACGCUGAGGUGCGAAAGCGUGGGGAGCAAACAG
Molecule: ribosomal RNA, 428 nt
Filed under: Fusobacteriota bacterium
Lineage: Bacteria; Fusobacteriati; Fusobacteriota
Description: Fusobacteria bacterium partial 16S ribosomal RNA
Rfam family: Bacterial small subunit ribosomal RNA
Source: RNAcentral